CCAGCGCUGUGAACUGUCUGCAGCCGUCCUCCUCACUUGAGGUCUCUCCGCUGAUCUCCAUCGUCAUCACCAGGCCAUCCAUCUCUUUGGUUCCCUCUGAAAUAUUUGGUUAAUGAAGCUUUUUUAUUUUUUUAGUUGACCCUCAAAUCAGGUCGACCUGCUCUGAGCCACAAAGCAAAGAGAGAAAAAAAAUGUCAACUGAUUUGACAGAAGUGGAGUACAUUUAGGUGGAUAAACCAGCCAGAAAGCAGGACUGUUGAGGUUCAAACACAAUGAGUAAGGGGAAUAAACACCAGAGGAAAGGAUAGGGUUGGAGUUUUUGAAAUCCAUCUUAAUGCAAUAUAAUCACAUCCCACGUGUAUGCUGAAAGAUUUAUUGUUUGCUGUAAUCAUUCUUCUCCAUCCUGAGAGUGAAGCAAUGCUUUCAUGGAUUGACUGUAAUGGGCAGGGGUCAGCAACAUUUAUUAUCAAAAGAGCCAUUUUAGGCAAAAA
This is a long non-coding RNA of Sebastes umbrosus (honeycomb rockfish), 491 nucleotides long. RefSeq lists it as uncharacterized. The record is from RefSeq and is a predicted model, not a curated record. The transcript has 2 exons. Lineage: Eukaryota; Metazoa; Chordata; Actinopteri; Perciformes; Sebastidae.